Molecule: ribosomal RNA, 368 nt
Filed under: uncultured organism
Description: bacterial SSU rRNA
Rfam family: Bacterial small subunit ribosomal RNA
Source: RNAcentral
CGGAGGGUGCAAGCGUUAUCCGGAUUCACUGGGUUUAAAGGGUGCGUAGGUGGGUCUGUAAGUCAGUGGUGAAAUCUCCGAGCUUAACUUGGAAACUGCCAUUGAUACUAUAGAUCUUGAAUAUUGUGGAGGUCAGCGGAAUAUGUCAUGUAGCGGUGAAAUGCUUAGAGAUGACAUAGAACACCAAUUGCGAAGGCAGCUGGCUACACAUAUAUUGACACUGAGGCACGAAAGCGUGGGGAUCAAACAGGAUUAGAUACCCUGGUAGUCCACGCCCUAAACUAUGGAUACUCGACAUACGCGAUACACUGUGUGUGUCUGAGCGAAAGCAUUAAGUAUCCCACCUGGGAAGUACGAUCGCAAGAUUG